Molecule: ribosomal RNA, 429 nt
Filed under: uncultured bacterium
Lineage: Bacteria
Description: bacterial SSU rRNA
Rfam family: Bacterial small subunit ribosomal RNA
Source: RNAcentral
UGGGGAAUUUUGCGCAAUGGGCGAGAGCCUGACGCAGCAACGCCGCGUGGGUGAUGAAGGUCUUCGGAUCGUAAAACCCUGUCGUCAGGGACGAAGGUUGCGAGUUUAAGAGAUGCGCAACUUGACGGUACCUGGAGAGGAAGCCCCGGCUAACUCUGUGCCAGCAGCCGCGGUAAUACAGAGGGGGCAAGCGUUAUUCGGAAUUAUUGGGCGUAAAGGGCGCGUAGGCGGUUUCUUAAGUGAGAUGUGUAAUCCCCGGGCUUAACCUGGGAACUGCAUCUCAUACUGGGGGGCUAGAGUACUGGAGAGGGUGGUAGAAUUCCACGUGUAGCGGUGAAAUGCGUAGAGAUGUGGAGGAAUACCAGUGGCGAAGGCGGCCACCUGGACAGUAACUGACGCUGAGGCGCGAAAGUGUGGGGAGCAAACAGG